CGUCCCUACGGGAGGCAGCAGUAGGGAAUCUUCCACAAUGGACGAAAGUCUGAUGGAGCAACGCCGCGUGAGUGAAGAAGGGUUUCGGCUCGUAAAGCUCUGUUGGUAGUGAAGAAAGAUAGAGGUAGUAACUGGCCUUUAUUUGACGGUAAUUACUUAGAAAGUCACGGCUAACUACGUGCCAGCAGCCGCGGUAAUACGUAGGUGGCAAGCGUUAUCCGGAUUUAUUGGGUGUAAAGGGCGUGUAGGCGGGGUUGCAAGUCUGAU
This 267-nucleotide ribosomal RNA is filed under the name uncultured bacterium. RNAcentral describes it as "partial 16S ribosomal RNA". It matches the Rfam family "Bacterial small subunit ribosomal RNA", at positions 334 to 593 of the family's 1533-position model. The record is from RNAcentral.